This is a long non-coding RNA of Oryctolagus cuniculus (rabbit), 2713 nucleotides long. The record is from Ensembl. Lineage: Eukaryota; Metazoa; Chordata; Mammalia; Lagomorpha; Leporidae.
GAGGUUGCCUCAUUAGCCAGGAUUCAGGGGAAGAGAGGGUGGGAGGAUUGAAGACAAGAGAAGGUAUGAAAUGUCAUUUCAGAAAUCCGGAGUGUUCGAAAGGAAAGCACAGCAGGUGUGUCAGGAGCGUGUUCCCGGGCAGUUGAAGAUCAUAGCUUUCAUUGAAACCAGUCAGCCUAGUCCGUGAUCGUUGAUCAGCAGCUGGAGUUGCUCAGGGUAGGCACAGAAAAGGCAGAGUGGGCUUCAGUCGUGACUGACGGGUACGGGGGAGGAGUAAACAACAAGAGAAAGUGCAAAGGUAGGAGGGGAAGGUGGGCCCGGGGGUUCAGUGAAAGAAAUGGCGGAAAAACAGAGAGACUGAUGGGCUGAGAAAGAGCAAGAAACAAGGGAUGCGAAGUCCUGCAGACAUGUGGGUUGGAGGAGAGUGAUGAAGGCAGCCUCUCCAGGCCCUGCAGUCAUACAUCCCUGCAAAGUCAGCCAAGCAGACUCUCGCCAAACUCCCAUCUCUACAACGGUGAGGAGAAGAAGGAAGACAGAAGAUGCUGUGCCCUGCUGGGUCUCGACGGGAAGAAAUGGGCAAGAGGCCUUCACACGCUUUACAGUGUUAGUGGUUUGCUGUCCAAUCUGUAACAUUUUAGUGGCUAAUGGGCAGUCUUUCUCUGUAACACUGUGAGGUUUCCAAAACACAAAAUCAUGCCAGGAAAAACGAGGGAGAUUAUAAUUAUUCCCCAUAAAUACUGCAAGAUUAAAACUAUACAUAUAAGCAGCAAAACAUUGUUUCAAGACAUUGUCACCUAUAGUUACGUAUGUUACAUUCAUGAUAAGCCUGCUGGCCUCUUUCUCUAUUUCUACUGAUGCUCUCGAGUACAGAAAAUCCUAGUGAUGCACUCAAAUGACUUGGCCAAAGGCAUAGGGGAAACUUGAACCUCUGUCUUCUUACCCCCAGCCCAGUUCUACUUCCUGGAGGUCUGCAAAUUUUUGUAAACUGUCCUUGGGUCAUAUGUGGUGUGGAGAAAACACACUUAAGAUACUCCAGUGGACCUGUCCCACCCUUGGAUGCAAUCCUGCGGCCAUCCCAUCAUGGUAUCAGGCUGGAGAAAUGACUCCUGAGAAAAGACCUUCAGUGUAAACACUGCACUCCAAUAGGCCCACAUUGUGAAGGGUGUUGAGACUUUUGGAACAACCAUAGCUUUCAGUAGAAUCAGUACUUGUAGCCCUCAGAUGCUAGACUGUCAACCAGGGGCCAGCUUUUAGAACAAAGAUAAAAACAAAUGUAAAAAUCUUGACUAGAUUAUGUUCUCAAGGGCAGAACCUAUUUUAUUCAUCUUUAUCUUGCCCACAUCUGGCAUGGUACCUGGCAUAUACAGGGAACUUAAAUAUUUGCGGGAUAAUUACAGAAGCAGCACACACAGGAAACUUAAAUAUGUGUUGGGUAACUACAGAAGUAGAAGACUGAUGUUUAAAAACAUAAAAAGCAGUAACUGCUCUGGUUGAUAAAGAGGAAGACAUACAUUUGCAUAAAGAUUCUUUCUUAUGUGCAAAACAUAUGCAUUUUCUGAGAUGAAUUGAAAUAUAAUUAAAAGCAGUGACUUCAAAGCCCAGGUUUGUGUCCAAGACAGGUUAGGCUUGUUCAAACCCUCUCUUCAAUCUUUUCAGGCUGCAAUCAACUGCCUCCACAUCUUUAUUUUUUUUAAAGAUUUAUUUAUUUAUUUGAAAGUCAGAGUUACACAGAGAGAGGAGAGGCAGAGAGGGAGAGAGGUCUUCCAUUCGAUGGUUCACUCCCCAAAUGGCCACUAGAGCUGGCGCUGCACCUAUCUGAAGCCAGGAACCAGGAGCUUCUUCUGGAUCUCCCAUGUGGGUGCAGGGGCCCAAGCACUUGUGCCAUCUUCUAAUACUUUCCCAGGUCACAGCAGAGAGCUGGAUUGGAAGUGGAGCAGCCAGGACUAGAACCGGUGCCCAUAUGGAAUGCUAGUGCUUCAGGCCAGGGCAUUAACCCACUGUGCCACAGCGCCAGCCCCAACAUCUUUAUUUUUAAGUAUCUGUUACAGCCACACCUACUUCCACAUACCAAGAUCUGUAUGACUUACAUUUUUAUCACGAAAUAAGCACCUGCAAACAACCUUUGCCUUCUCAUAGUUUCUGUGGGUCAGGAAUUGAGGGGUGGCUUGGUGGAGAACUCUGAUACAUGGUUUUCAUAAGGACUACAUCGGGGGAGACAUGUUGGCCAUGGUUCAGGUCUUCUCUAUUGGCUGGCCUAAGAUGUCAGUUCCUUUACACAUGGAUCUUUUCAUAGAGAAGUUCACAACUUGACAGCUGGCUUCCCUCAACCCAAAACAGCGCACAAGAAACAGUGUGCAAGACAGGAGCUGCAACCUUCUCAUAAGGAAGUGACCAAUCUCUAUUUCUGAUGUGAGUCACUAGGUCUGCACAUAAAGUAAGGGGAAGAGAUCAAAAGAACGACAACAAAUCUAGCCUGAAGAUCGAAGUAUCUUUUCUAGAGUUGGGCAAGAACCAUAUACUAUAAAACAGAAGGAAUCUUAGGAUGAGCUGAGCAUAGGACGUUGGCUUCACAAGACAGCAAAAGGCAGGGGAGAGCAGAAGCUGAGAACAAGAAGUGGAUUGUGGGGCGGAGCCAAGAUGGCGGAAUAGUGAGGGCGCGCACCGAUAGUCCGGGAAAAUUUAGUUUAAUAAAAAGGGAGUUACGGUAGCCGCA